This 460-nucleotide ribosomal RNA is filed under the name uncultured bacterium. RNAcentral describes it as "partial 16S ribosomal RNA". It matches the Rfam family "Bacterial small subunit ribosomal RNA", at positions 338 to 795 of the family's 1533-position model. The record is from RNAcentral.
CCUACGGGCGGCAGCAGUGAGGAAUAUUGGUCAAUGGACGAGAGUCUGAACCGGCCAAGUAGCGUGAAGGAUGACUGCCCUAUGGGUUGUAAACUUCUUUUAUAUGGGAAUAAAAUGUUCCACGUGUGGGAUUUUGUAUGUACCAUAUGAAUAAGGAUAGGCUAAAUCAGUUCCAGCAGCCGAGGUAAUACGGAGGAUGCGAGGGUUAGCCGGAUUUAUUGGGUUUAAAGGGAGCGUAGGUGGAUUGUUAAGUCAGAUGUGAAAGUAUGCGGCUCAACCGUAGAAUUGCAGUUGAAACUGGCAGUCUUGAGUACAGUAGAGGUGGGCGGAAUUCGAGGUGUAGCGGUGAAAUGCGUAGAUAUCACGAAGAACACCGGUGGCGAAGGCAGCUCACUGGACUGCAACUGACGCUGAGGCUCGAAAGUGUGGGUAUCAAACAGGAUUAGAUACCCCAGUAGUC